UAACGUUACCACUUCUCGCCCUUUUUUAAAAUGAGCACAUGCCUACAAACAUUAAAUAAAUCUGAUCUCUUUCUUCCUCUCGCGUUUCCAACCGUUUGAUCCUCUCUCUCUUGUUCGUUUUGCUUAUUAUUUACAAGAAAUUAACCACAUUGUUUUCUGAAUCGACGUUUUCAAGAGGGUGCAUAUAUUAUCUGUUGUACCUGACUGUGAUUUGGUUCCAUAUUGGUGCUCUGCUGAAGUAAUUCAUGUUGCUGAAGAAUUUGAUGGAAGACAAGCAACUGGAUUUUAAUCAACCAUUUUUAUCUGUGAGGCGGUUCUCAUCAACAGUGACCACCUCAGAAGCUGAGGUUAAAAGGAAAACAGUCAAUACUGUUCCCAAAAUACCUGCUCUCCCUGUUUACAAGUCAGAGUUGAAAUCAGGUCCGAUUGGGAACCCACAAACUAUUCCUUUCGUGUGAGAGCAAAUGCCAGAAAGGCCCAAGAAUGAUAGCAAAUCACAAACUCAAGCUCCUGAGCAACCUCCCAUUGUUCCAAAGCUUCCACCUGGAAGGAAAUCAUAUAGUUGUUCUUUGUUUGGUACACUUAAUUGUACAAGAUUUCAGGGUUCCAAGUCUCCCUCAGUUGAUCCCAAGUGGAAAACUAUUGUCAAAACCUCGAAUGGACACCAUGGACAUUUACGUUUCUCAGAGGAACUACGUACACCUAUUCUAGAAGCAUAAAACAAUAGAAACCUUAAGCCUAUGGAAUCAUGUAUACAGUUGGUUGUGAAGUCCAUAAUUUAAAUGGCUUCAAGGCUUCUCAAAACACUUUCUCAUCUCCUCGAAAAAUUUUCUCCUCAAAGUCCGAGAUGCUUCUUCCUAUACUUAGUAUACAGCGGGUAAUUGUAAAUCUCUCUGCCCAUUUAUAUUCCUGUAAUAAGAAGUUGCAUUUAGUCCAAGAGUUAAAAUUAUGCCUACAAACAAACUGUAUAGACUCUGUACAAACUGAGUUUCUAGCUUGUGAUUGUUCACUUUUAAUUCAUGCUUCCUGGUGACAUUGUUACCUACUUGUCAUAUGUUGACACCAUGACAGGAAGCAAAAUGUUCAUGAUGUGAGUUAUCACCUCCAUGCAAAUAAGCAUUUUGGAUAUUUUAUUGGGAA
Mangifera indica (mango) is the source of this 1140-nucleotide long non-coding RNA. RefSeq lists it as uncharacterized. The record is from RefSeq and is a predicted model, not a curated record. NCBI's taxonomy places the organism in Eukaryota, Viridiplantae, Streptophyta, Magnoliopsida, Sapindales, Anacardiaceae. The transcript is spliced from 3 exons.